This 63-nucleotide microRNA precursor is filed under the name Pundamilia nyererei. Its description in RNAcentral is "microRNA pny-mir-23a precursor (pny-mir-23a-2)". Its record names the gene pny-mir-23a-2. It matches the Rfam family "mir-23 microRNA precursor family", at positions 10 to 67 of the family's 73-position model. The record is from miRBase by way of RNAcentral. Lineage: Eukaryota; Metazoa; Chordata; Actinopteri; Cichliformes; Cichlidae.
GGGUUCCUGGCACCGUGAUUUGAUGCACAAAGAGAAACAAAAAUCACAUUGCCAGGGAUUUCC